UACGUAGGGGGCAAGCGUUGUCCGGAAUUAUUGGGCGUAAAGAGCGCGUAGGCGGUCCGAUAAGUCGGCUGUGAAAGUCAGGGGCUCAACCCUUGAAAGCCGGCCGAUACUGUCGGACUAGAGUCCGGAAGAGGCAAGUGGAAUUCCCGGUGUAGCGGUGAAAUGCGCAGAUAUCGGGAGGAACAUCAAUGGCGAAGGCAGCUUGCUGGGACGGUACUGACGCUGAGGCGCGAAAGCGUGGGGAGCAAACAGG
This 253-nucleotide ribosomal RNA is filed under the name uncultured bacterium. RNAcentral's name for it is "partial 16S ribosomal RNA". It matches the Rfam family "Bacterial small subunit ribosomal RNA", at positions 524 to 776 of the family's 1533-position model. The record is from RNAcentral.